Apis florea (little honeybee) is the source of this 1038-nucleotide long non-coding RNA. Lineage: Eukaryota; Metazoa; Arthropoda; Insecta; Hymenoptera; Apidae. The record is from RefSeq and is a predicted model, not a curated record.
AGAUAAGGAUGACAUCAUUUCACGGACCUUGUCCGUGAAUCCGAAUGAAACCGGGCUCCUGACCUCAUCCUACGCACCUGCCAGUGGCCCACAACCGAUGGAGACUGCGAUCAUCUCCGAAGUUUUACGACGACACACGAGGGCGCAAUCGAUAUCGCGGAGGGGGAUCCGUCUCGCCACAGUUACGGUAUCUGUCGUACUCCGCCACGAAAAUUAAAGAUCCGUUUGUGUUACGUGCACAAAAAGAUGUUGCCCGUAACAAGAAUACGAGUUUCUUCGUAAAUAUUGUAGUUCCUUUUGCUUAAAAAGGCCGCGAUGAUCAAAAGGGGGAGAGAAGACGAGGACAAAAAAGAGAACGAAACACAGCAUCAUAGGGGAGAGAGUCAAAGAAUUUUACUGGCGGCUUGCGCGCGUGCGUGCGCGCACACAUACAGAGUUGAUGUUGGUUUGUUUUUCACCUCGCAUUGUGCGCAUCGUUCGUUACGUCUGGCAAUUAUCUGGCCGCAAGCUCGUACUGCUUUUAAUAUUUUUAAUCCGCGAAACUUGAAGCUGAACCGCGCAAAGUAACUUUACUGUUAAAUUUUAUUUAUUUAUUUUUUUCGAUAUAAGAGGAAAUUUUCCAUAAUAGAAUUUUUCUCAAAAUCUCGAUAUAUUUCAUUGAUAUGAAACAUAAACGAUCAAUAAAUAAAAUCAAUUUAUUUUUAUAUUUAUUUCCGAAAAAAUUUUCUCUUUCUUAAUAUUCAAUUAUUGAAAUGAUUUUGAUAUUUUGGACGGUUUUGGAAUAAUAGUCAAAAUGAUUCGAGAUGUUAUGUGACACCAUUGAAAGCAAUUUGUGGCAUUCGCAAGGACUACCGGCAACGAUCGUCCAAAGGACGGAAUUUCAAGACGCCUCCUGCCAGUAAAUCCGAUCGAUCAGUCUGCCCUGUUUAGCCUCCAACAACGCUGAAAUCUCCUCGACACUGUUCACUGAUGGAUUCAACUGAUCAUAGUUCGUGAUAACCAACAUUCUCGACUUGUCUUUUCAACCUAAAACAACUU